GACGAACGCUGGCGGCGUGCUUAACACAUGCAAGUCGAACGGAAAGGCCCUGCUUUUGUGGGGUGCUCGAGUGGCGAACGGGUGAGUAACACGUGAGUAACCUGCCCUUGACUUUGGGAUAACUUCAGGAAACUGGGGCUAAUACCGGAUAGGAGCUCCUGCUGCAUGGUGGGGGUUGGAAAGUUUCGGCGGUUGGGGAUGGACUCGCGGCUUAUCAGCUUGUUGGUGGGGUAGUGGCUUACCAAGGCUUUGACGGGUAGCCGGCCUGAGAGGGUGACCGGCCAGAUUGGGACUGAGAUACGGCCCAGACUCCUACGGGAGGCAGCAGUGGGGAAUAUUGCACAAUGGGCGGAAGCCUGAUGCAGCAACGCCGCGUGCGGGAUGACGGCCUGCGGGUUGUAAACCGCUUUCGCCUGUGACGAAGCGUGAGUGACGGUAAUGGGUAAAGAAGCACCGGCUAACUACGUG
Molecule: ribosomal RNA, 468 nt
Filed under: uncultured bacterium
Lineage: Bacteria
Description: partial 16S ribosomal RNA
Rfam family: Bacterial small subunit ribosomal RNA
Source: RNAcentral